UACGUAGGGGGCUAGCGUUGUCCGGAAUCAUUGGGCGUAAAGAGCGUGUAGGCGGUCCGGUAAGUCCGUUGUGAAAGUCAGGGGCUCAACCCUUGAAUGCCGGCGGAUACUGUCGGGCUAGAGUCCGGAAGAGGAGAGUGGAAUUCCUGGUGUAGCGGUGAAAUGCGCAGAUAUCAGGAAGAACACCCGUGGCGAAGGCGGCUCUCUGGGACGGUACUGACGCUGAGACGCGAAAGCGUGGGGAGCGAACAGG
Molecule: ribosomal RNA, 253 nt
Filed under: uncultured bacterium
Lineage: Bacteria
Description: partial 16S ribosomal RNA
Rfam family: Bacterial small subunit ribosomal RNA
Source: RNAcentral